AGAUUGAACGCUGGCGGCAGGCCUAACACAUGCAAGUCGAGCGGCAGCACGGGUACUUGUACCUGGUGGCGAGCGGCGGACGGGUGAGUAAUGCCUAGGAAUCUGCCUGAUAGUGGGGGAUAACGUUCGGAAACGGACGCUAAUACCGCAUACGUCCUACGGGAGAAAGUGGGGGAUCUUCGGACCUCACGCUAUCAGAUGAGCCUAGGUCGGAUUAGCUAGUUGGUAGGGUAAAGGCCUACCAAGGCUACGAUCCGUAACUGGUCUGAGAGGAUGAUCAGUCACACUGGAACUGAGACACGGUCCAGACUCCUACGGGGAGCAGCAGUGGGGAAUAUUGGACAAGU
RNAcentral lists this ribosomal RNA (347 nucleotides) under uncultured soil bacterium. RNAcentral's name for it is "bacterial SSU rRNA". It matches the Rfam family "Bacterial small subunit ribosomal RNA", at positions 26 to 373 of the family's 1533-position model. The record is from RNAcentral.